UUUCAAUGCUGUUAGUGGAGACCUUGAAGAAUGGCAUUCAGACAGAUUUAACUCUCUGUGUUGUCAGUGAGGAUGUACUCACAAGAAACUCCCUGUGAGGUUUUCGGUGCAUGACAGGCAAGGGCUAAAGCAAGUGGGAAAUCUCUAAGUAAGCUGGGAGAUGCACAGUUAAAGAAGCUGAUGGCACCGGGGAGUGUCCUGUUGAUGGGCCACCAGCCGCAGGGGGACUGGAGAGAUGACUCAGCAGUUAAGAGCAUUUGUUGCUGUUGCAGAGGAUGACGGUCUGUAAUUGCAGUUCCAGAGGAUCGGCAACGCACACCCACCUUGUGAUGGAAGGUCCCUUCUAGUCCUCUGCUUUCUGUGCUCUGUUUACAAUCCACACCACCUAUGCUGGGGACCAGAGCAUCCUCAUCUUCGUGCUUCAUCCUGAUGUCUGUUCUACACUACAACCAAAAGCAGGAAGGUCUACAAACCAGUUUUAGCAUAUUUUUAUUCUAUGUCGAUGAGUGUCCUGUGUGUAUGUGUGUUUGCCGUAUGUGCACCUGGUGCCCAGGAAGGCCAAAGAGGGUACUGGUUUCCCCCAGAACUGAAGAUAGAGAUCUUUGUGGUCACAUGAGGCUGCUGGGUCCUCUGGAAGGGCAGCCUCUGAUUUUAACUGCCUAUCCAUACCUCAAGACCCUACAAAACUAGUUUUGCAAGAUUUAAAAACAAGAACAACAAGUAUACUUUAGUUUUUUGUUCUGCCUAUAAAUGUGUGCACGUGGAUGUACUAUGUGGUCUUUGUGAAGGAGAGGGAUGUGCUGAUUAGGUCCAGCCAACAUCGGAUAGAUGCUCUUCUGUCUUAGCCACGUGGAAAAGGGGACAGAGCAAAGAACCAGACAAUGAAAUUCAGUGACUCCCCUGCCUCUUGUGGCUUGAAUAGAAACAGAAGGACUUAUUGGAAACAGCAUUCCCAAGGCCUGGCCUCAGCUACACAUGGUUACACAACUCCUCAAACUGUUACAAAACAUAGCAAAGAACAAACUGUGUUCAGAAAACUCCCAGAAAUUUUCUUGCAAAGUUACAUGGUGCAGAGCUAUAACUUUUUAAUGAUUUUUCGGUUUUCUUUUCUAUCAAUUUAAUUUGUUCUUUGAGAAUUUUAUACAGGCGUACAUUGCAUUUUGUUUGCUUUUGGCUCUUUCCUCUCAAUCAUCUCUCCAUCCCCUCCUCCCACAAGUCCCUCUCUUCCUCCCACAAGGACAUUUCCACCACUCUUGCGUUUUUUGUUGUUUUUGGGAGCUGCUGAUUUUAUCCAGGACCAGCAGUGUGGCUAUGGGUUUGGGAUUGUCCAUUGGAACCUAGGGUGCUCACUGCUAUGGGCUUCAUAUACAACUGAAGAGAAAUAUUGUCCCUCCUCGGAAUCCAUCUGUUGUGAGUCCCUUCCCUAAGACUGCUGUCAGGCCCAGUUUUGUGCCGGCCCAGUGCAGGCAACUGCAGCUGCCGUGAGAUCAUGUUUCAAAUGCAGUUUUUAAAUGAAAUCUAUUUCUAGAUAACCAGGAAGAAUUUCUAAAAAGAAAGAUGUGAUACCAUGUUUUAAGUAUCUGUAUUUUUAAAUGUGGGAUUCAAAGUUUAAUACUUUUUUUUCUUUAAAAUAGAAUGUUUAUUAAAACAUUUAUCAUGUGUUUCUUGCUUAA
Molecule: long non-coding RNA, 1673 nt
Organism: Arvicola amphibius (Eurasian water vole)
Lineage: Eukaryota; Metazoa; Chordata; Mammalia; Rodentia; Cricetidae
Exons: 2
Source: RefSeq, a predicted model, not a curated record